CAACCCGGAUGAUUCUUUGCAUUCAGGCCCAUUCAAGCAGGACUCACCUGCUGGGACAGAAUCAUCAGCAGCAGCAGCAUCAGGAGGUUUCCCAUUGUGGUCAACGAGCGCCCUCUGCUGGACUGGCGUUGUUUGAGCACAACAACAGGGUGCCGGUUUUGUUCCAAUUAGCACUGACGGCCUUGGUGGAGGCCUCCUGCCAAUUUUAGUGAUGACAAAGAGAUUACGCUUUAGAAAACUUGCAGUUUAUUUAAUUAUUCAUUUUUACUUGGAAUAAAAAAAAAGUGCAUUGGUGAACAUUUUCUUUCUUUGUGCAGUUCUCUGGGACCCCCUCCUGUUAUAAAUAGGUACAAAAUCGAUUAUUUGAGCUUCACAUCAGGCAUGUUAAAAUCGUCUUGGUCAGCAUCACCGAGAAGCGUGUUGAAUAAAUUAAGCCAAA
Hippocampus comes (tiger tail seahorse) is the source of this 439-nucleotide long non-coding RNA. RefSeq lists it as uncharacterized. The transcript is spliced from 3 exons. Lineage: Eukaryota; Metazoa; Chordata; Actinopteri; Syngnathiformes; Syngnathidae. The record is from RefSeq and is a predicted model, not a curated record.